This 77-nucleotide transfer RNA is filed under the name Corynebacterium glucuronolyticum ATCC 51867. Its description in RNAcentral is "tRNA-Arg". It matches the Rfam family "tRNA". Rfam says of the family: Transfer RNA (tRNA) molecules are approximately 80 nucleotides in length. Their secondary structure includes four short double-helical elements and three loops (D, anti-codon, and T loops). Lineage: Bacteria; Bacillati; Actinomycetota; Actinomycetes; Mycobacteriales; Corynebacteriaceae. RNAcentral also lists the same sequence under 2 other names. The record is from RNAcentral.
GCCCCAGUAGCUCAGCGGAUUAGAGCAUCCGGUUUCUACCCGGCUGGUCGCGGGUUCGAAUCCUGUCUGGGGCGCAA